CCGAAACAGCAGCGAUCCUGUUCUCUUCCAGACCCGCAGGAAACGAGUUCCAGGAAGCCGCCCCUCCUCCAGCCUCGCCCUAAGGACCCGAUCCCAGGCCAGCACCACCCGCCCCUCCUCCGCCCAGCAGCUCCCGCACAGAGGAUCCCUCGGCCCACACACCCCUCCACAGUCACCCCGUACCCGCGACCCCGGCCUCUGCCGGAGCCCUCCAGGCUCUGCCCGCUCAGCAGAGUGCGUCAGGCCCCCACGCAGGCCCGUCCCCUCUGGCCGGCCCUUCUCCUCACCUUGUCCACCCCGGAGAGCGGGAGGCGCCGCAGGAGGUGGACCUGCUGGGCCCUGGUCAGCUGCUAAGCCAAGAGACCUAGGAACCUGGGAGAAAAGCUUUGUGAUACCCAGGAAACCAGACCACAGAGUGAUCCGGGUAACUGCUGUGUGCUGGUAACUGAAGUGUCGUACCCUGGUUGGGCGCAGUGGCACAACACCCGUAGUUCUCAGCUGCUCGGGAGCCCUCCAGACCCCAGGAGGAUGAGGGACAAGAGUGCAAGUUCCAGGCUGUCUGGGCAGCCUAGUGAAACCUUAUCUCAAGUAAAUAAAUACAUAAAAAGGCC
This 611-nucleotide long non-coding RNA is filed under the name Fukomys damarensis (Damara mole-rat). RNAcentral's name for it is "lncRNA (ENSFDAG00000032944.1)". Lineage: Eukaryota; Metazoa; Chordata; Mammalia; Rodentia; Bathyergidae. The record is from RNAcentral.